GAUGAAGAACGCAGCGAAAUGCGAUAAGUAAUGUGAAUUGCAGAAUCCAGUGAAUCAUCGAAUCUUUGAACGCACAUUGCGCCCGCCAGCAUUCUGGCGGGCAUGCCUGUUGGAGCGUCAUUUCAACCCUCGACCUCCCUUUGGGGAAGUCGGCGUUGGGGACCGGCAGCACACCGCCGGCCCUGAAAUGGAGUGGCGGCCCGUCCGCGGCGACCUCUGCGUAGUAAACCAACUCGCACCGGAACCCCGACGUGGCCACGCCGUAAAACACCCAACUUCUGAACGUUGACCUCGAAUCAGGUAGGACUACCCGCUGAACUUAAGCAUAUCAAUAAGCGGAGGA
RNAcentral lists this unclassified non-coding RNA (343 nucleotides) under soil metagenome. RNAcentral's name for it is "partial contains 5.8S ribosomal RNA, internal transcribed spacer 2, and large subunit ribosomal RNA". The stretch from base 1 to 120 matches the Rfam family "5.8S ribosomal RNA", at positions 35 to 154 of the family's 154-position model. The record is from RNAcentral.